Vicia faba (fava bean) is the source of this 252-nucleotide non-coding RNA. The record is from the annotation of a GenBank genome assembly. NCBI's taxonomy places the organism in Eukaryota, Viridiplantae, Streptophyta, Magnoliopsida, Fabales, Fabaceae.
AUGUAUGUUACUACUUACUAUAAAUACUUCUCUAAUUGUUCAUGUCAGUUUUUGCAAAUCAAUUUCACCAGCAAGAGCGGCGAUGAGACUUCUCCGACUCUUUCUCCAGCGGUGGUGACUCUUCUUAGGCAUCUGUGCACAAUCCUUUCUCGCUUCUUCUCCAUUUCAAAAUCGCAGCUUUGCUACUUCGAAAUCGCAGCUAACAUUGCGUCUGGGAUUUAUACAGAAAUAGAAAUAGAAAUAAACCUAUAG